This 408-nucleotide ribosomal RNA is filed under the name Rhodobacteraceae bacterium V10. Its description in RNAcentral is "bacterial SSU rRNA". It matches the Rfam family "Bacterial small subunit ribosomal RNA", at positions 1 to 433 of the family's 1533-position model. The record is from RNAcentral. Lineage: Bacteria; Pseudomonadati; Pseudomonadota; Alphaproteobacteria; Rhodobacterales; Paracoccaceae.
UCACCUCCUUUAGAGUUUGAUCCUGGCUCAGAACGAACGCUGGCGGCAGGCCUAACACAUGCAAGUCGAGCGCGCCCUUCGGGGUGAGCGGCGGACGGGUUAGUAACGCGUGGGAACGUGCCCAGAUCUAAGGAAUAGCCACUGGAAACGGUGAGUAAUACCUUAUACGCCCUUCGGGGGAAAGAUUUAUCGGAUUUGGAUCGGCCCGCGUUAGAUUAGGUAGUUGGUGGGGUAAUGGCCUACCAAGCCUACGAUCUAUAGCUGGUUUUAGAGGAUGAUCAGCAACACUGGGACUGAGACACGGCCCAGACUCCUACGGGAGGCAGCAGUGGGGAAUCUUGGACAAUGGGGGCAACCCUGAUCCAGCCAUGCCGCGUGAGUGAUGAAGGCCUUAGGGUCGUAAAGCUC